GAUUAAGUUAUUAAGGGCGCACGGUGGAUGCCUUGGCACUAGAAGCCGACGAAGGACGUUACUAACGACGAUAUGCUUUGGGUAGCUGUAAGUAAGCG
Molecule: ribosomal RNA, 98 nt
Filed under: Staphylococcus haemolyticus
Lineage: Bacteria; Bacillati; Bacillota; Bacilli; Caryophanales; Staphylococcaceae
Description: partial 23S ribosomal RNA
Rfam family: Bacterial large subunit ribosomal RNA
Source: RNAcentral